UUAAGAAACAAGUCAUCUUAUGUCCUUUAUAUGCUGUUUGUUGUUGCACAGUUUAGCUGCAAACAUUUUAGUACAGCUUUGAGAAACACAAACAAAUGUAGCAGCCUUCAUUAGAUGGACUAGAAAAGGUUUCACAGUUCUGUUACCACUUUGUGUGGUUAUUAUCAGACUGUCAAAAGCAGAAAACGUUAGUUACAGUAACCACAGAUGAACGCUUGACUAUUUUCAAAAGGCCUGCUUUAUAUCUUCUACGUUUAAUUUGAGAUACUACUGAUGCUGGUGAUAAUUUAAGCUUCUUAGACACAAACCACACAAAAGAAAGAAAGCUUGUAGAAAGCUGUUCUCAUGAACCAUUUAUACACAUCAAAAUGUAAGCUCCAGGGGGAAGGUCGGGUGGAUGUUUGGGUAAUAAAAAACAGGGCUUUAAGGCGGGGAAGUGGUGUUUAUAUCCUGGAAGACAUUAAGGGGAAAACACAAAACGUUCACCCAGGAAACAAGUGUUCCUGUUCCGGGAGGAUUUUAAUUCGAACCCAC
This is a long non-coding RNA of Sander lucioperca (pikeperch), 534 nucleotides long. RefSeq lists it as uncharacterized. NCBI's taxonomy places the organism in Eukaryota, Metazoa, Chordata, Actinopteri, Perciformes, Percidae. The record is from RefSeq and is a predicted model, not a curated record. The transcript has 4 exons.